GGCACCUUUAACUUAGUCCAGAGAGGCUAAAAAGGAGGCUACAAUUAUGUAUGCAUAUAACAUGGAACCUGGCUAACCCAAGCGGCUUUUUUUUGCCGUGGGGUUAGCUUUUU
Molecule: regulatory RNA element, 113 nt
Organism: Dethiobacter alkaliphilus AHT 1
Lineage: Bacteria; Bacillati; Bacillota; Dethiobacteria; Dethiobacterales; Dethiobacteraceae
Rfam family: PyrR binding site
About the family: This family represents the PyrR binding site and terminator structure.
Source: Rfam